RNAcentral lists this ribosomal RNA (472 nucleotides) under uncultured bacterium. Its description in RNAcentral is "bacterial SSU rRNA". It matches the Rfam family "Bacterial small subunit ribosomal RNA", at positions 355 to 825 of the family's 1533-position model. The record is from RNAcentral.
UGGGGAAUUUUGGACAAUGGGCGAAAGCCUGAUCCAGCCAUGCCGCGUGUGUGAAGAAGGUCUUCGGAUUGUAAAGCACUUUAAGUUGGGAGGAAGGGCAGUAAGUUAAUACCUUGCUGUUUUGACGUUACCGACAGAAUAAGCACCGGCUAACUCUGUGCCAGCAGCCGCGGUAAUACAGAGGGUGCAAGCGUUAAUCGGAAUUACUGGGCGUAAAGCGCGCGUAGGUGGUUUGUUAAGUUGGAUGUGAAAGCCCCGGGCUCAACCUGGGAACUGCAUCCAAAACUGGCAAGCUAGAGUACGGUAGAGGGUGGUGGAAUUUCCUGUGUAGCGGUGAAAUGCGUAGAUAUAGGAAGGAACACCAGUGGCGAAGGCGACCACCUGGACUGAUACUGACACUGAGGUGCGAAAGCGUGGGGAGCAAACAGGAUUAGAUACCCCCGUAGUCCCUGAGCGGGCUGGCAAGGCGCAU